Molecule: small nucleolar RNA, 71 nt
Organism: Neogale vison (American mink)
Lineage: Eukaryota; Metazoa; Chordata; Mammalia; Carnivora; Mustelidae
Source: Ensembl
GGUCGGUGAAAGCAUGGCACAGGUUAGCUGAAUCCAAAGUUGAUUUAAUUCUAAAAUUAUACAAAAACCUU